Molecule: ribosomal RNA, 429 nt
Filed under: Triticum aestivum (bread wheat)
Lineage: Eukaryota; Viridiplantae; Streptophyta; Magnoliopsida; Poales; Poaceae
Description: partial small subunit ribosomal RNA
Source: RNAcentral
AUGCAAGGAGGUCCCAAACAAGCUUUGGAUUUGACACUACUUGCAAGGGGAUUUGACCUAGAACUAUGUGGUUUGAAAACCGAAAUAUCUCGAUGCUUCCUGAUUUUGCAUCCCAUGCUCAGCGUUGCUGAGAAGAAGGAAACACUCAAGAAUGUCACAGACUACAUUACCAAUGUUGUUUGCAAACGUGCAGAACUUGGUUACAACUAUGUAGUUGUCCUAAUACCGGAAGGUUUGAUUGAUUUCAUCCCAGAGAUUCAAAACCUCAUUGCAAAAUUGAAUGAAAUUUUGGCACAUGAUGUUGUUGAUGAGGCAGGGGCUUGGAAAAGCAAGCUUGAACCAGCAUCUAGGGAGCUAUUUGACUUCUUGCCCAAAACCAUUCAGGAGCAGCUUUUGCUUGAAAGAGAUCCCCAUGGAAAUGUUCAGUGA